AGCAUUUGGACCCCAGCCCUUCACUGGAACACACACACACACGCACAUGCAUGUACACACACAUACACACACAUGCAUGCACACAUCACUCUGCACAUACCACACCACACACACGCGCACACACAUACCACUCUGCACAGACUCUGAGCAGUCCGAAAGUCCCCGUGGACCCUUUGGUUCACACAGCCCUGGAGGGGAUGGGGAAGGACCCACCUAGCCUUGCAGAGGCAGAAUGACUCUUGCCAGUCAGGAAUUCCUACAGCGGGUUGCAUCAUUCACAUAACAUUAGCAGCCAUCAAAGGCUAAAGAGCAGCCCCCAAAAAGGAGAGGCUCAGUGGCCACAAUGGCUGUGGCCCUCACUUCCGCACUGUGCAGAGGGCCCUAGGGGCCCUGGCCUCCGGGCCUGAGCUCAAGGCCACCACGGUAGUGUCCCAUCAGAAACGUAUGACAUCCUGCUGCUCCUGCUCCGUCCUGAGGUGGCACCCCCCAGUUUUCUGGGUGUACACAUCCAUCUAAGCUUGGCUGGUGGGCGUCUGCCCAGAUGAGGGGGCCAAGGACCCAACUCUGCACAACAGCAAAUGCAUUCAGGGAGGGCCACUGGGACCUCCAGGAGCUGCUGAGAUACCACCCAAGUCCCAGGCGUGUGCAGGACUCAUGGGGCCAGAGGCAUAAUUUCACUCUUGUUGCCCAGGCUGGAGUGCAAUGGUGUGUGUGAUCUCAGCUCACUGCAACCUCCACCUCCCCGGUUCAAGCAAUUCUCCUGCCUCAACCUCCCAAGUAGCUGCUAUUACAGAUGCAGCUGGAAUCAAAGUCCCACCAAGGGGAGGAGACAGGGACCCCAAAGGCACCUGCUAUCUUUAUCAAUAGAGAACAGACAAUAAUGGGACACCAGUGCUGUGGAAUGGUGUGCAGGCGUUUGAAGGAGGGAGGUCAGGCCACACAGGCUGUCCUGGAAAGGCAUCCAGGCAAGAAUACAGAUGUGAUGGCUGGAGGUCCAGCAGCUAUCAUGGACCCUGAAGUGAUCUGGAGGCUAGACAUCACACCCUAAGAAUGGCAGAGCUGAAAGGCAGAGGAAACAUGAGUCUCUGGUGAUACUAUGAAGCUUCUAGUCCAGCCCUGAACACAAUAAAAGUUUUUCUUUCUCAGGGUCUCUACAGGGAGACAAGAGGGGUAUUCUUCUUAUCUAUGUCACCGAUGGGCUGAUGCUGAUGGAGUAACCACCAUGUUGAACAUCACUCUAUUAGAGCCCUGGAGGGUACUGGUAACUAAAUAUUUAGCCUGGAUGUCAAAUCACUUCUACUCAUUGGCCAGAACUAGCCCCAUGGCUCCGUCUAAUCAAUGGUAAGACAGCCAGGAAAUGUCAUCCUGCCAAGUACCCAGAAGGCAGGGAGCAGAAGGAGGUCCAGUGAUCAUCAUUAAGAAAUCAAGUUGGGGCUGGGCGUGGUGGCUCACGCUUGUAAUCCCACCACUGUGAGAGGCCAA
Long non-coding RNA from Homo sapiens (human), 1482 nucleotides. RefSeq lists it as uncharacterized. NCBI's taxonomy places the organism in Eukaryota, Metazoa, Chordata, Mammalia, Primates, Hominidae. The record is from RefSeq and is a predicted model, not a curated record. The transcript has 4 exons.